RNAcentral lists this ribosomal RNA (368 nucleotides) under uncultured bacterium. Its description in RNAcentral is "partial 16S ribosomal RNA". It matches the Rfam family "Bacterial small subunit ribosomal RNA", at positions 329 to 714 of the family's 1533-position model. The record is from RNAcentral.
UUCCAGACUCCUACGGGAGGCAGCAGUGGGGAAUAUUGCACAAUGGGGGGAACCCUGAUGCAGCGACGCCGCGUGGGUGAAGAAGUCAUUCGUGACGUAAAGCCCUAUCAGCAGGGAAGAAAAUGACGGUACCUGACUAAGAAGCCCCGGCUAACUACGUGCCAGCAGCCGCGGUAAUACGUAGGGGGCAAGCGUUAUCCGGAUUUACUGGGUGUAAAGGGAGCGUAGACGGCGGCGCAAGUCCGGAGUGAAAGCCCGGGGCCCAACCCCGGGACUGCUCUUGGAACUGCGUGGCUGGAGUGCAGGAGGGGCAGGCGGAAUUCCUGGUGUAGCGGUGAAAUGCGUAGAUAUCAGGAGGAACCCCGGUG